GUUGAGACACUUAGUGUUUUAGUUUACAGGGUGUGUGAACUUCUAGGCACAUGACAAGAUGGUCAGCUGCACUUUGUUUUUAGGUGGCCUGUACCUGAAAGCUGUUUCUUUUUUUCUUUCCAAAGAAAUUCUGACUGGUGUCCUCCUUCACUAACUAAAGUGUGGGUACUCUCUUACAACCUAACCCCAACUUGGCUACUGUGAGAACCAGAAAGAAUUCAACAGACUAGCCCAAAACAAACAAACAAACAAACAAAACACAUUACCUCUGCACACUGGCACACCACCCAUGUUCAUUUGUAUGGUUUUUAUGGGCUGACCCCAAGACAUGCAAGGCAGAGGGAUGUCUCCACUCUUAUUUUCUAAUAGUUGACCUUUCUCUUAGUUGGUCCCUCAUCUGUGUGCUCCAUCCUGUAGGAAUGGGAGGGCGUUCAUAGAGAAUAAAGAAGUCAAUUCUAAUUUUGGCAGAUGGUGUGCUAAGAGAAUUAACAAAAGUAUUCUAAACAAAAGCCAGCCUUUUCUGGCCCGGAAAUAUUGAGCUAAGCAUUUUCACGUUAACAAUAGAGGGCAGAGCUGAGAUUUGCAUUCAAAACUUUUAAUUUGAAAAGCCUUGAUGAUUGCCUGUGCCUGGCAGAGUUCACAUUCAAGUGAGAACCCCACUAGAUACCCACCUUUCUUGCUAUUGUAAGUAUUCUAUAAAGUAUGGUGAUAGCUUCAUACGAGGUCUGCAGUGACAUUGUCAUGACAUAAGGAUACUUAAGAUCCACUGAAAUAUCCUUUUAUAUAUAUAAGUAGGGUGAAGAUUGUGGCCUGUAGUUCACCAAAUAAUUAGUCUAAAAUUUCGAAGCCCUCCCCCCCACCUCCCGGAUUAGCUAGUAUGGGUUUGAAAACAUAUUUUAAGGAGAAAUGGAGUGACCCGAAUUUGGCUUUGUCACAGUGGACCGUGUUCAUUGAUUACAGAAUUUUAAAGCAGAAGUGUGUGCGCUGGAGGAGAUGCAUCUGGUAUCUCCAGCUUAGUGUGGAGUGGCCUGUUUGGAAGCUCCGUGUGUUUGAUUUAUUUCUUUUGUCCCUGGCAAGGAGGGACUGACUCUCCCAGUGCUUGGCUGCCUUUUCCAUCUGGGAGGAAUUGCGUGUCUUGAAUCCUGUAGUCUCCCGCCAGCUACAUUGAUACUGGACUUCUCCCCUCUCUGCUCAGGUAUCUCCAUACUUUCUUGGAAAAUUAAGUGGAAAGGAUAGUGCUUCUUGCCCUCUGCCACCAUUUUUACUGUUCCCACUCUGUGACUUUAGGAGCACCAAGUUUUAAGGGUAAGUCUCUGGGAAUCAGAGAGUCUCUUGAAUAGGUGUGGCGCUAAGACCAUGGAGAACUGAGGGAUGACACGGGGUGGAUUGGGAAUGAAGAGAGUCCAGGGGGCAGAGAGCCCAAGUCGCUCUCUGUUCAGCUUGUCUGGAAUCACUCAUGCUUUAUGCUCGGGGUAGAGAAAAACAGCAAAACACUCCAUUCUCCACUUAACUUAGGGUAGUGUGAUGAGUCAAAUGAUCUUAGAUCUGCGUUGGAGAAAAUGUGAGUGUGUGUAAGUGUGUGUGUCCUGAGUGCUUGAAUUACCAGCAUGGGCCACCCUGCCUGGCUACUGAGCAAGCUUCACUGUUAGCGUUGUGUUGUGAGACAUCGAUAAAAUGUAGAUUUGU
RNAcentral lists this long non-coding RNA (1686 nucleotides) under Mus musculus (house mouse). RNAcentral describes it as "long non-coding RNA chr8:35670526-35672212". The record is from RNAcentral. Lineage: Eukaryota; Metazoa; Chordata; Mammalia; Rodentia; Muridae.